GAAUGCUGACAUAAGUAACGAUAAAGCGGGUGAAAAGCCCGCUCGCCGGAAGACCAAGGGUUCCUGUCCAACGUUAAUCGGGGCAGGGUGAGUCGACCCCUAAGGCGAGGCCGAAAGGCGUAGUCGAUGGGAAACAGGUUAAUAUUCCUGUACUUGGUGUUACUGCGAAGGGGGGACGGAGAAGGCUAUGUUGGCCGGGCGACGGUUGUCCCGGUUUAAGCGUGUAGGCUGGUUUUCCAGGCAAAUCCGGAAAAUCAAGGCUGAGGCGUGAUGACGAGGCACUACGGUGCUGAAGCGACAAAUGCCCUGCUUCCAGGAAAAGCCUCUAAGCAUCAGGUAACAUCAAAUCGUACCCCAAACCGACACAGGUGGUCAGGUAGAGAAUACCAAGGCGCUUGAGAGAACUCGGGUGAAGGAACUAGGCAAAAUGGUGCCGUAACUUCGGGAGAAGGCACGCUGAUAUGUAGGUGAAGCGACUUGCUCGUGGAGCUGAAAUCAGUCGAAGAUACCAGCUGGCUGCAACUGUUUAUUAAAAACACAGCACUGUGCAAACACGA
RNAcentral lists this ribosomal RNA (557 nucleotides) under Escherichia coli. Its description in RNAcentral is "partial 23S ribosomal RNA". It matches the Rfam family "Bacterial large subunit ribosomal RNA", at positions 1292 to 1834 of the family's 2925-position model. Lineage: Bacteria; Pseudomonadati; Pseudomonadota; Gammaproteobacteria; Enterobacterales; Enterobacteriaceae. The record is from RNAcentral.